GUACUGCUGAAGAGUCCCGGACUAGGACGAAACAGCUGACUGUCCAGUAC
Molecule: non-coding RNA, 50 nt
Organism: Trichobilharzia regenti
Lineage: Eukaryota; Metazoa; Platyhelminthes; Trematoda; Strigeidida; Schistosomatidae
Source: Rfam